Molecule: ribosomal RNA, 455 nt
Filed under: Actinomadura verrucosospora
Lineage: Bacteria; Bacillati; Actinomycetota; Actinomycetes; Streptosporangiales; Thermomonosporaceae
Description: bacterial SSU rRNA
Rfam family: Bacterial small subunit ribosomal RNA
Source: RNAcentral
AGUAACACGUGAGCAACCUGCCCCUGACUCUGGGAUAAGCCCGGGAAACUGGGUCUAAUACCGGAUACGACCACUGAUCGCAUGAUCGUGUGGUGGAAAGUUUUUCGGUUGGGGAUGGGCUCGCGGCCUAUCAGCUUGUUGGUGGGGUGAUGGCCUACCAAGGCGACGACGGGUAACCGGCCUGAGAGGGCGACCGGUCACACUGGGACUGAGACACGGCCCAGACUCCUACGGGAGGCAGCAGUGGGGAAUAUUGCGCAAUGGGCGAAAGCCUGACGCAGCGACGCCGCGUGAGGGAUGACGGCCUUCGGGUUGUAAACCUCUUUCAGCAGGGACGAAGCUAACGUGACGGUACCUGCAGAAGAAGCGCCGGCUAACUACGUGCCAGCAGCCGCGGUAAUACGUAGGGCGCAAGCGUUGUCCGGAAUUAUUGGGCGUAAAGAGCUCGUAGGCGG